This 480-nucleotide ribosomal RNA is filed under the name uncultured bacterium. Its description in RNAcentral is "partial 16S ribosomal RNA". It matches the Rfam family "Bacterial small subunit ribosomal RNA", at positions 28 to 506 of the family's 1533-position model. The record is from RNAcentral.
GAUGAACGCUGGCGGCGUGCCUAACACAUGCAAGUCGAGCGAAGCACUUACUUUAGAUUUCUUCGGAAUGACGAAGUUUGUGACUGAGCGGCGGACGGGUGAGUAACGCGUGGGCAACCUGCCCUGUACAGGGGGAUAACAGCUAGAAAUGACUGCUAAUACCGCAUAAGCCCACAGCUUCGCAUGAAGCAGUGGGAAAAACUCCGGUGGUACAGGAUGGGCCCGCGUCUGAUUAGCUAGUUGGUAAGGUAACGGCUUACCAAGGCGACGAUCAGUAGCCGACCUGAGAGGGUGACCGGCCACAUUGGGACUGAGACACGGCCCAAACUCCUACGGGAGGCAGCAGUGGGGAAUAUUGCACAAUGGGGGAAACCCUGAUGCAGCGACGCCGCGUGAGCGAUGAAGUAUUUCGGUAUGUAAAGCUCUAUCAGCAGGGAAGAAAGUGACGGUACCUGACUAAGAAGCCCCGGCUAACUACGU